RNA transcript from Schistocerca serialis cubense, 1465 nucleotides. It is a transcript of the gene named DNA-directed RNA polymerase III subunit RPC6, with no coding region annotated. The transcript has 6 exons. The record is from RefSeq and is a predicted model, not a curated record. NCBI's taxonomy places the organism in Eukaryota, Metazoa, Arthropoda, Insecta, Orthoptera, Acrididae.
UAUCUUUGGUUGUGAUACGGCUGCUUCGUACAACAACGUAGUACAGCACUGCGUCUACUCUAGCAGUAGUAUUGGUAGUCUGCUACUGCGCGAUGUGUAAGUUACGUGAGAGAGCAUGAGAAUGAAUUUUCUUGGUGUCUGUCAAUAAUGUGCCAGACAUAAAUCUGACGUAAUUUUCUAUUAUUGUUUAGUGUUGUUUGUCGAAUUCAGACGCGUUGAAAUUGGUGAGUCGGGGUGUAGUGUGUCACGACACGUUUGUUCACGUUGUAAUUGUUGUUUACAUCGUAAUUUACGGAAGUUUUAUGAUGUCCAGCAUAUCAACCUAACCCUAAAUACCAGUAAGAAAUGAGCUUUCCAUUUCGUGGUAUUUAUUACUUUGAACUAUUUUCUGAAAGAUGGCAGGGAAUGAAAACACGACGACUGUGCAGGUGAAGGUGGAGAAACCUGAUGAGACUGCUUCCACGUCAACUGCAGAAGUUGAACACAGGGUUAUUGCCUUGGCACAGAAAAUACCAAAGGGCAUUUCUGACAAAGAUAUACAAAAUGAAAUGCCGGAUUUGCAGCCGCAACAGAGAGCCACUGUAAUAAACAAGUUACUUGCACAGGGAUUUUUUGAUCUCUUCAAUCAAAAAGGAACACUACUGUACAAAUUGAAAGACCCGUCAAAAAAUCAGAAUGUUAAAGGUGCUGACAAUGAAGAAAAAGUGGUUUACAGAAUCAUUGAAGAGGCUGGAAACAAAGGAAUCUGGAUCAGAGAUAUAAGACAUAAAUCCAAUUUGAUACUCACACAGCUUAAUAAGAUAUUGAAAAACCUGGAAAAUAAGAAACUAAUCAAAGCUGUGAAAUCGGUAUCUGCAAGCAAGAAAAAAGUUUAUAUGCUUUAUAAUCUGGAGCCAGAUCGUUCAGUCACAGGUGGAGCCUGGUAUUGUGAUCAGGAUUUUGAAGCAGAGUUCGUUGAUGUGCUAAAUCAGCAGUGCUAUAGGUUUUUAUUAACCAAGACUGAAGCUGCAAAGGAAUGCAAAGGAGGGCCAAUAGCAGCAAGAAAUAUUUCGUAUGCUUCAUCAAAGGAUGUAUGGAAAUAUAUAAAUGACCUGGGCAUCAGCAAAGGUAUGGGUGUACCAUGUACAUCUCAGCGUGACAGAAAAAGUUCUACUCUAGCAUUUGCAGUGAAGCUAGUAAGCCACCACUUAUUAUGUGACUGCAACUCCUGACCGUGCACCACAUUUUAAAACCAAGCGGACCAAAAUGUCUCCAGCAUCCAUAACAUUGCUCAGCUACCAACAGACAGACAGUACCACAAAUUUGCAGCAAGCAGGCGCUUUGAUAGAUACUGUCCAAUUAUCAGUGGAAGAUAUGGAAACGAUUUUGGAUACUCUGUUAUAUGAUGGAAAAGUUGAACGUUCGCUAUCUGCUGAGGGAAAUUUUCUAUACAGAGCCAUUAAAAGUUUGCUACCUCCACCAGGAA